This 300-nucleotide ribosomal RNA is filed under the name uncultured bacterium. RNAcentral describes it as "partial 16S ribosomal RNA". It matches the Rfam family "Bacterial small subunit ribosomal RNA", at positions 28 to 339 of the family's 1533-position model. The record is from RNAcentral.
GACAAACGCUGGCGGCGUACUUAAGACAUGCAAGUCGAACGGGUGUCCUGCUUUCGGGUGGGAUGCUAGUGGCGGAUGGGUGAGUAACGCGUAGGAACCUGUCGUUAAGUGGGGGAUACCGCUGGGAAACCGGCGCUAAUACCGCAUGUGGUCGAGCGAUCGAAGAAAGCAGCAAUGCGCUUGAUGAGGGGCCUGCGUCCGAUUAGCUAGUUGGUGGGGUAAAGGCCUACCAAGGCGCGAUCGGUAGCUGGUCUGAGAGGAUGGUCAGCCACACUGGGACUGAGACACGGCCCAGACUCC